Molecule: ribosomal RNA, 465 nt
Filed under: uncultured Klebsiella sp.
Lineage: Bacteria; Pseudomonadati; Pseudomonadota; Gammaproteobacteria; Enterobacterales; Enterobacteriaceae
Description: bacterial SSU rRNA
Rfam family: Bacterial small subunit ribosomal RNA
Source: RNAcentral
CCUACGGGUGGCAGCAGUGGGGAAUAUUGCACAAUGGGCGCAAGCCUGAUGCAGCCAUGCCGCGUGUGUGAAGAAGGCCUUCGGGUUGUAAAGCACUUUCAGCGGGGAGGAAGGCGUUAAGGUUAAUAACCUUGUCGAUUGACGUUACCCGCAGAAGAAGCACCGGCUAACUCCGUGCCAGCAGCCGCGGUAAUACGGAGGGUGCAAGCGUUAAUCGGAAUUGCUGGGCGUAAAGCGCACGCAGGCGGUCUGUCAAGUCGGAUGUGAAAUCCCCGGGCUCAACCUGGGAACUGCAUUCGAAACUGGCAGGCUAGAGUCUUGUAGAGGGGGGUAGAAUUCCAGGUGUAGCGGUGAAAUGCGUAGAGAUCUGGAGGAAUACCGGUGGCGAAGGCGGCCCCCUGGACAAAGACUGACGCUCAGGUGCGAAAGCGUGGGGAGCAAACAGGAUUAGAUACCCCAGUAGUC